This is an RNA transcript of Erigeron canadensis, 1465 nucleotides long. It is a transcript of the gene named ABC transporter I family member 11, chloroplastic, with no coding region annotated. Lineage: Eukaryota; Viridiplantae; Streptophyta; Magnoliopsida; Asterales; Asteraceae. The transcript is spliced from 11 exons. The record is from RefSeq and is a predicted model, not a curated record.
CAAACAAAUGCAUAAGCAGCAGCAGCACCAGCACCAAUUAUGUCCUUACUGUGUAAAAAUAUGUCGACGAGCUAUCCGAUUUUCCAGUGUUACCUUAAACAAACAACUUCACCUCAUAAUAAUAAUAAUAAUAAUUCCUACAACUGCUACUAUUACAGGAGAAGGAGGAGGCAAGUGAGUAGUAGCUUAAAAUACAAUAAAAAUCAAACAUUUCCUCCUCUUCAGGAGGUCCCAGGAUGCCACUCCUCUUUCCAGAUAAGGGAUAUUAGAUACAGACCUCCCGGAACCGAACUCAACCUUUUAAAUGAUGUUAAUUUUACUCUACCUGAGAAAAGUUUUGGCUUGAUUUUCGGGCGGAGUGGAAGUGGUAAGACUACCCUUUUGCAGCUUAUUGCAGGGCUAACGAAACCAACAUCUGGUUCCAUUUGCGUCCAAAGAUAUGGUGAUGAUGGAAACCCGAACGAACCUCCUGUCGUAUUAUCUCCGGAAAGAGUUGGUAUUGUUUUUCAGUUUCCUGAAAGGUACUUUGUCGCAGAUAAUGUUUUUGAGGAAAUUACAUUUGGGUUGCCUCGACAGAAAAGUGACUUUAAAACUAAAGAGCGUAUUGCUAAAAGACUUGAAAGAGCUAUCACUUCGGUUGGUCUAAAUGGUAUUUCCUUCGACAAAAAUCCGAACUCCUUAAGUGGUGGCUACAAACGUCGUCUUGCUCUUGCUAUACAGCUGGUACAAACUCCAGAACUGCUGGUACUUGAUGAACCUCUAGCUGGUCUUGAUUGGAAGGCACGUGCUGAUGUUGUUAAGCUCCUGAAGGAUUUAAAGAAAGAAUUGACUAUACUCGUAGUAAGCCACGACCUUAAAGAGUUAGCACCUCUGGUUGACAGAUCAUGGAGGAUGGAAGUGGGUGGGGUGCUGAUGGAGGAGCCACUACCGUUAUAAUCUUUUCACGAUGUUAUUCCAACGUUAUGACUUUGAUUCCUUCCAAAGGAUCACUGGAGAUUUACUUGGAAAAUGGUUGUUAAUAGUGUGCCGUGUGACUUUGGAAGUUGUUCACUAUCCAUCUCGUUCAUUAUAAUACAUCGAAGAAUUAUCCAAUCUGUACUUGGUAUCCUAGUGGUCUGGAAUCUGGAGGGUCGUUUUAGAGCUGAAAGCACUUGAUGUAGCCAACAUCAUAAUUCAUAACAUGUAUUCUAUUGAGAGAUGAACAGUCUUUAUCUUCACAACUUGUUGCACAUUAAUAGCUUGUCGUGACCUACAAGAAUCAUUGAGCCCCUCAUAAUUCUCACAUGGUACGCGUAACCUUACCAUACCGUUGGUAUAAAGUGAUGCUUUGGUCACACAAUGUACCCACACAAUGUUAGGCAGUGGUCAAUUACCCUACUUUCAUGUAUUACUUGAGGAUAUUUUGGAACAUGUAAAUGUAAUACAGAGUGACAUUUGUAUAGGUAACUACAAAAAUUUGGACCUA